CCUACGGGAGGCAGCAGUGAGGAAUAUUGGUCAAUGGGCGCAAGCCUGAACCAGCCAAGUCGCGUGAGGGAUGACGGUCCUAUGGAUUGUAAACCUCUUUUGUCGGGGAGCAAGGCCCGCCACGUGUGGCGGGAAGGAGAGUACCCGAAGAAAAAGGAUCGGCUAACUCCGUCCCAGCAGGCGGGGUAGGACGGAGGAUGGGAGCGUUAUCGGGUUUUAUUGGGUUGAAGGGAUGCGUAGGCGGAAGGUUAAGUCAGUGGACAAAUGUCGGUGCUAAACACCGGCCGGCCGUUGAAACGGGUAUCCUUGAGUGAGCGAGAAGUAUGAGGAAUGCGGGGUGUAGCGGGGAAAUG
RNAcentral lists this ribosomal RNA (353 nucleotides) under uncultured bacterium. RNAcentral describes it as "partial 16S ribosomal RNA". It matches the Rfam family "Bacterial small subunit ribosomal RNA", at positions 338 to 688 of the family's 1533-position model. The record is from RNAcentral.